GAUGAACGCUAGCGAUAGGCUUAACACAUGCGAGUCGAGGGGCAGCAUGGUCUUAGCUUGCUAAGACUGAUGGCGACCGGCGCACGGGUGCGUAACGCGUAUGCAACUUGCCUCACAGAGGGGGAUAACCCGUCGAAAGACGGACUAAUACCGCGUACACUCCAUCUUGGGCAUCCAAGGUAGAGGAAAUGAAAUUCGCUGUGAGAUAGGCAUGCGUCCCAUUAGCUAGUUGGUGAGGUAACGGCUCACCAAGGCGACGAUGGGUAGGGGAACUGAGAGGUUGAACCCCCACACUGGUACUGAGACACGGACCAGACUCCUACGGGAGGCAGCAGUGAGGAAUAUUGGUCAAUGGGCGAGAGCCUGAACCAGCCAAGUCGCGUGAAGGAUGACUGUCUUAUGGAUUGUAAACUUCUUUUAUACGGGAAUAACAAGAGUCACGUGUGACUCCCUGCAUGUACCGUAUGAAUAAGCAUCGGCUAACUCCGUG
RNAcentral lists this ribosomal RNA (490 nucleotides) under uncultured bacterium. Its description in RNAcentral is "partial 16S ribosomal RNA". It matches the Rfam family "Bacterial small subunit ribosomal RNA", at positions 28 to 507 of the family's 1533-position model. The record is from RNAcentral.